UACGUAGGGUGCAAGCGUUGUCCGGAAUUAUUGGGCGUAAAGAGCUCGUAGGCGGUUUGUCGCGUCUGCUGUGAAAACCCGAGGCUCAACCUCGGGCCUGCAGUGGGUACGGGCAGACUAGAGUCCGGAAGAGGAGAGCGGAAUUCCUGGUGGUAGCGGUGGAAUGCGCAGAUAUCAGGAGGAACACCCGUGGCGAAGGCGGCUCUCUGGGACGGU
This 216-nucleotide ribosomal RNA is filed under the name uncultured bacterium. RNAcentral's name for it is "partial 16S ribosomal RNA". It matches the Rfam family "Bacterial small subunit ribosomal RNA", at positions 524 to 738 of the family's 1533-position model. The record is from RNAcentral.